RNAcentral lists this long non-coding RNA (2126 nucleotides) under Homo sapiens (human). Its description in RNAcentral is "non-protein coding lnc-MRPS28-2:1". Lineage: Eukaryota; Metazoa; Chordata; Mammalia; Primates; Hominidae. The record is from RNAcentral.
AGAUCCAGGCAUCUGUGUGCUCUCGGGGGCCUGGAAAGUCCCCUGCCCAUGCAGGCCUGGAAGUGCCUGCUCCAGUUCGGAGCAAAGUUGUGGCUGAGCUUGGGUGCUGUCACAACCUGGCCAGGUGUGUGCAUCCUCAGGGUGGUGCUGACAUGUCAGGUUCCUGCUAUACUAUUCAUUAAGUGCCCAGGCAUCUUACACUCAUCACCUUUAACUCUUUACUCAGGCAUGUGGCAGUGUCACCAUUUUAUAGAUAAGACCAAAGCCAGUAGCUGUAAAGUAUUAGGCUUGAACUUAGCAGUUCUCAGAGGAGUACCUGGCCGUGUGAGGUGUCAGUCUGCCCCUACUGUCUAGGCACCUCCCAUGUAUUCACUUAUUUUACCUUCACAGCCUCCAAUGAAGUAAGUGCUAGUAUUAUUAUCUCAGUUAUUUUUUUACCAGAUUACACUGCUCCUAAUUCUCACAGCUAAACAUUCUCUUUUAUUUCCUUCAUAUUUCAAAUAAAUUGAACAUUUGUGUGCAAAUAGGCAUUCAUAUGAUAAUAAGACCUUGUUAUGUACAGAGUUUUAUCCCCCCAAAAUUUAUAUGUUGAAGCCCAAGUUUCCAGCGUGACUGUAUUUGGAGACUGAACCUGUAAGGAAGUAAUAAAGGUUAAGUGAGGUCUAAGGGUUGAGGCCCUAAUCCAGUGGGAUUGGUGGCCUCAUAAAAGGAGGAAGAAAUGUGAAAGAACACUCUGCAUGUGCAUGCAGUGAGAGAGGGCCACGUGAGGUCACAGCCUCUGCAAGCCGGGAAGAGAGCCUUCACCAGAAAUUGAAUUGGCCCGAGCCUUGAUCUUGGACUUUCAGCCUCCAUAACUGUGAGAAAACAAAUUUCUGUUGUUUAAGCCACCCGAUCUGUGGUAUUUUGUUAUAGCAGCCCAAGCAAACUAAUAUACACAUAUAUAAACAAGCAAAUGUAGGAGUACACAUUGUUGUAGAAAAUAAAAAAGGUCUUGCUUCCCCAGAUCCCACUGCACAUCUUUGAAAACUUUGUCAGCUGCUUUCUGCCUUCAUAAGAAUACAAUCCUGCCAAGUCAGUUUACCCACCCAGACCACCUUACAGUCAGACCUCCAUCAAUUCUGAUAGGAAGGAGUGGUUUUGUUCCUGAAUGAACUGUUUGUUAAACCAAGAAGAAUGCGGGCAGUAUAGCAAAGCUUGACUCUACCAUGGUCCUGAGUGAAUUCUGACCAAGACAGACAGCUUUAUCAGUGGUGUUAGAUCUGGCUGCCGGGAAUGUGGCGUGCCAGCACAGCCUCUCUCUUGCUGCAGUGCCUUUGUCCACAGAUAAGUUUCCUGAUUAGCACUUCACCCUCCCUGCCCAGUGUCUUUCCAUCCUUGUCCCUUAGAAUUCAUUCUUACACAGAGCAGCCAGAGUGAUCUUCAAAACAGAAAUUCGAUCAUUCACUUCCCCUCCAUAGGCUUUCCAGAGCACCUAAAAGAAACCCCAAACCGUUUACUUUGGUGUAUGAAGCCUUACAUGGCCUGCCUCCUGCCUUCCUGUCUGACCUGCGAGUCCUGCCAGUACUUUCCAGUCACACUGGCCUUUUGGUUUUGAACGUACCGACUUUACCCUACCGUGAGCCUUUGAACCAACGGUGCUGCUGCCUGAAAAGCUCUGCCCCCAUCUUUGCACAGCUGGCUCCUUUUCUUGUCAUUAAAUGUCCCCUCUUCAGAGAUGCCUUCCUUCACCACCCAGUCUACUGUUGUUCCCUAGUCCUCUCUAACAUAUCACUUUAUUUUUAUUUUCUGUACAACACUUACUCCUAUUUGAUUUGGUUGUUUUUUGGUUUAUUGUCUCUCUCUUCCUAGCAGAGUGUAAGCUCUAAGAGUACUGGAACCCUUUCUUUCUUCUGUACUUACUGGUUAUUGCAGCAUCUAGAGCAGUAUCUUCCACAGAUGGGCCUCUAAAAAACAUUUUUGAGUAAAUGAAUGAACCAGUGAACAAACUGGUAGGCUGGAGCCCCAGGGCCAGGGCAAGUACUCCUGCAGGGCCCAUCUUUCUCAAGACUCAUAUUCUUUUCCCAUAUCCUCAGUCACUUGGGCCCUGCUGUCAACAGAAAGGCCCUCUACGGCCUAGAGACACACUU